UCCGAUAAAAAUAUGAUGGCGAUCGAACAUUUGAAAUUUGCCCGCCAUACAUCUUAUUUGCUUUUCAAAUAGAGAUUUUCAUCUAUCAAUGAAUGUAAAAUCUUGGCAGCCAUUUUUACUCCACUCUCUUCAUUCAAACUAUCCACAACUCUCAAAUAUCUAUAUUAAUUCUAUUACCUCUUCACCAUUGUGUAAGAUUUGAAGCCCAUCUUUAAAAUGCUUCUGUUGGUGAUAAUUCAUCAAUUGUUGAAACCUAUUUUCUUGACCAUUCAAUUUGAAUGAACCAGGUUUUCGUUUUCUUCCGACCCUUUAUAAUAUUACCAAACAAAAGUGCAUAAAGCAUAUUUCACCAAUCCCAUAUUCAUGUAAUAUAGGGUUAAUCAUUUUAAGCAAUCGAAGAAAAAUGUUUAAUUACAAGCCAAACCCAAUUAUUUGAACAUCACUCAAAGGCUUAAAAACCUUAAAACUAGAUAUAGUUUUCUAUCUUUUCAAUAGCAAAUAAUUCCUUCUAGCAUUCAUAGAUUUGUCCAAAUGUGUCUUUUCUUCAAAUUUCUAAGUAUAACAAGAAAGUCCAAUACACAAAUUAAUUCAUUUCGUCUCAGAAAAUGAUAUUCCAAUGAGGUUCCACAGAACAAAAUCAAACAAUAUCAAACAAAAGAGAAACCAACAAGAACACGUAAUAUUCAAUAAAUCAAGAAACUCAUACCAAUGCAAAAGGGAAAAAAAAGCCUAACUAAUGAGCCAAAAGUUUGCCCUUAAAUUGCUCACACGUGUAGAAGUUGAAAUCGGCCAAAAUCAUUUUUGUAUCUGCAAAAAUCGGAUGAACAAUUCAUUAUCCGAAAGACAAAAUUACAAAAAGAAAGAAGGAUCUUGUAUUGGAUUUUGCUACAAGUAUAAAUUGGGUUGAAGUGAAUUUCUAACGUCCUCUCUUCCAGGCUAGGGCUUAUUUUUAGCAACUGGGUGAAUUUUGGACGGGUCUUUUUUGUAAGUUUUGGGCUGAUUUUUUUUAAAAGGUCCCUAUAAAUGAUGAG
This 1031-nucleotide long non-coding RNA is filed under the name Olea europaea subsp. europaea. The record is from RNAcentral. Lineage: Eukaryota; Viridiplantae; Streptophyta; Magnoliopsida; Lamiales; Oleaceae.